Molecule: long non-coding RNA, 214 nt
Organism: Haliotis rubra (blacklip abalone)
Lineage: Eukaryota; Metazoa; Mollusca; Gastropoda; Lepetellida; Haliotidae
Exons: 3
Source: RefSeq, a predicted model, not a curated record
GGUACAACCUCACCAUCACUGCUUCAGAUCUCGGAACUUCUCCAGCAUCCACUGUGUUGAGAGUCAUUGUCACCGAUGUCAAUGACAACUCUCCAGUCUUCCUCAACAGUGUCAACAACAGAUAUUUCUUCAAUGUCCAAGAAGGUCAAACACCCCCUGCUACAGUUGGAAGUGUUGCUGCUGUGGAUGGUGAUCAGAGUGGUACACCCCAGAG